Molecule: ribosomal RNA, 440 nt
Filed under: uncultured bacterium
Lineage: Bacteria
Description: partial 16S ribosomal RNA
Rfam family: Bacterial small subunit ribosomal RNA
Source: RNAcentral
CUACGGGGUGCAGCAGUAAGGAAUAUUGCACAAUGGGGGAAACCCUGAUGCAGCAACGCCGCGUGGACGAAGAAGGCCUUCGGGUCGUAAAGUCCUUUUCUGAGGGAAGAGGAAGGACGGUACCUCAGGAAUAAGUCUCGGCUAACUACGUGCCAGCAGCCGCGGUAAAACGUAGGAGGCGAGCGUUAUCCGGAUUCACUGGGCGUAAAGGGCAAGUAGGCGGUUGUUUAAGUUAGGUGUGACAUCUCUCGGCUUAACUGGGAGGGAGCGCUUAAAACUAGGCAACUAGAGGGCGGAAGAAGGGGGUAGAACUCCAAAUGUAGCGGUGGAAUGCUCAGAUAUUUGGAAGAAUACCAGUGGCGAAGGCGACCCCCCGGUCCGUGCCUGACGCUGAGAGGCGAAAGCUAGGGUAGCGAACGGGAUUAGAUACCCGGGUAGUC